This 252-nucleotide ribosomal RNA is filed under the name uncultured bacterium. RNAcentral describes it as "partial 16S ribosomal RNA". It matches the Rfam family "Bacterial small subunit ribosomal RNA", at positions 524 to 776 of the family's 1533-position model. The record is from RNAcentral.
UACGGACGAUGCGAGCGUUAUCCGGAUUUAUUGGGUUUAAAGGGUGCGUAGGCGGACUGUCAAGUCAGCGGUAAAAUUGAGAGGCUCAACCUCUUCCCGCCGUUGAAACUGGUGGUCUUGAGUGGAUGAGAAGUACGCGGAAUGCGUGGUGUAGCGGUGAAAUGCAUAGAUAUCACGCAGAACUCCGAUUGCGAAGGCAGCGUACCGGCAUCCAACUGACGCUGAGGCACGAAAGCGUGGGGAUCAAACAGG